Long non-coding RNA from Callithrix jacchus (white-tufted-ear marmoset), 2396 nucleotides. NCBI's taxonomy places the organism in Eukaryota, Metazoa, Chordata, Mammalia, Primates, Cebidae. The record is from Ensembl.
AUGAGAUUUGUGUUCAUCAGAUCCUUAUUGUUCCUGCCUCAUUUCCUGCAUAACUAUGAAAAAGUAAGGACCAGGGUAACCCAAAUACAUGCCAUGGUUGUCAGAACCUUACUCACCAAAACAAUGGGCAAUGGCUGUUUUAAAAGAACUAUUUUUAUAAGGUUAGAACAUGAAGGAAAAUACUGUAUUGAGUAUGAGAAACCUUCUAAUAUUAAAAGUAUAUGCGGAUCCUACAUAUGGCAAUAUUUAGUGAAAACAGAACAAAGAGAGAGUGAAACUGAGAUAUACAUGCUGUUAGGCAUAUUUUCUUUUUUUUAUUGCAUUUUAGGUUUUGGGGUUAGAAUUGACUUGGCUAUGUGGGCUCUCUUUUGGUUUCAUAUAAAGUUUAAGGUGGUUUUUUCCAGUUCUGUGAAGAAGGUCAUCGGUAGCUUGAUGAGGAUAGCGUUGAAUAUGUAAGUUACUUUGGGCAGUAUAACCCUUUUCACGAUAUUGAUUCUUCCUAACCAUGAACAUGGAAUGUUCCUCCAUCUGUUUGUGUCCUCUCUUAUUUCAAUGAGCAGUGGUUUGUAGUUUUACUUGAAGAGGUCCCUUAUGUUCCUUGUUAGUUGUAUUUCUAGGUAUUUUAUUCUCUUUGUAGCAAUUUUAAAUGGCAGUUCUGUCUUGAUUUGGCUCUCUUUAAGUCUGUUAUUGGUGUAUAGGAAUCCUUGUGAUUUUUGCACACUGAUUUUUGUAUCCUGAGACUGCUGAAGUUGCUUAUCAGUUUCAGGAGAUAUUGGGCUUAGACGAUGGGGUCUUCUAGAUAUACUAUCAUGUCAUCUGCAAAUAGAGACAAUUUGGCUUCGUCCUUUCCUAUUUGAAUACCCUUUAUUUCUUUUUCUUGUCUGAUUGCUCUGGCUAGAACUUCCAGUACUAUAUUGAAUAGGAGUGAUGAGAGAGGGCAUCCUUGUCUAGUGCCAGAUUUCAAAGGGAAUGCUUCCAGUUUUACCCAUUCAGUAUAAUAUUGGCUGUUGGUUUGUCUUAAAUAGCUUUUAUUAUUUUGAGAUACAUUCCGUCAAUACUGAGUUUAUUGAGGGUUUUUAGCAUAAAGCACUGUUGAAUUUUGUCAAAGGCCUUCUCUGCAUCAAUUGGGAUAAUCAUGUGGUUUUUGUCUUUGGUUCUGUUUAUGUGGUGAAUUACGUUUAUAGACCUGUGUAUGUUGAACCAGCCUUGCAUUCAUCCCCGGGAUGAAUCCUACUUGAUCAUGAUGGAUAAGCUUUUUGAUGUGCUGUUGCAAUUGGCUUGCCAGUAUUUUAUUGAAGAUUUUCGUGUCUAUGUUCAUUGUGGAUAUUGGCCUGAAGUUUUCUUUUCUUGUUGAGUCUCUGCUGGGUUUUGGUAUCAGGAUGAUGUUGGUCUCAUAAAAUGAUUUGGGAAGGAUUCCCUCUUUUGGAUUAUUUGGAAUAGUUUCAGAAGGAGUGGUAAUAGUUCCUCUUUGUGUGUCUGGUAGAAUUCGGCUGUGAACCCAUCUGUACCUGGGCUUUUUUUGGGUGGUAGGCUCUUAAUUGCUUUCUCAACUUCAGAUCUUGUUAUUGGUCUAUUCAUGGUUUCGACUUCUUGCUGGUUUAGUCUUGGGAGGAUACACGUGUCCAGGAAUUUAUCCAUUUCUUCCAGGUUUUCUAGUUUAUGUGCAUAAAGUUGUUUGUAAUAUUCUCUGAUGAUGGUUUGAAUUUCUGUGGAAUCUGUGGUGAUUUCCCCUUUAUCAUUUUUUAUUCCAUCUAUUGGUGAUUUCCCCUUUAUCAUUUUUUAUUCCAUCUAUUUGGUUAUUCUCUCUUUUCUUUUUUAUUAAUCUGGCUAGUGGUCUAUUUUGUUGAUCUGUUCAAAAAACCAGCUCCUGAAUUUAUUUAUUUUUUGAAGGGUUUUUCAUGUCUCUAUCUCCACCAGUUCUGCUCUGAUCUUAGUUAUUUCUUGCCUUCUGCUAGGUUUUGAGUUUUUUUGAUCUUGCUCCUCUAGCUCUUUCAAUUUUGACGAUAGGGUGUCAAUUUUGGAUCUCUCCACUCUUCUCAUAUGGGCACUUAUUGCUAUACAUUUUCCUCUUGAGACUGCUUUAAAUGUGUCCCAGAGAUUCUGGUAUGUUGUGUCUUUGUUCUCAUUGGUUUCGAAGAACUACUUUAUUUCUGCCUUCAUUUCAUCGUUUAUCCAGUCAACAUUCAAGAGCCAGUUGUUCAGUUUUCAUGAAGCUGUGCAGUUCUGAGUUAGUUUCUGAAUUCUGAGUUCUAACUUGAUUACACUAAGGUCUGAGAGACUGUUUGUUAUGAUUUCAGUUGUUUUGCAUUUGCUGAGGAGUGCUUUACUUCCAAUUAUGUGGUCAAUUUUAGAGUAGGUGUGAUGUGUUGCUGAGAAGAACGUAUAUUCUGCUGAUU